UUCUUCGGGGUGAAGCUCCUGGAACGACCCCUGCUUGAGGGGUGAGUAACACGUGGGCAACCUGCCUGUAAGAUAGGAAAAAAGCGGGGAAACCGGGGCUAAUGCCGGGUAAUACUUUCUUUCGCAUGAAGGAAAGUUGAAAAAAGGGUUCUUGCUAGAAAUUACAGAUGGGCCCGCGGCGCAUUACCUAGUUGGUGAGGUUGCGGCUCACCAAGGCGACAAUGCGUAGCCGACCUGAGAGGGUGAUCGGCCCCACUGGGACUGAGACACGGCCCAGACUCCUACGGGAGGCAGCAGUAGGGAAUCUUCCGCAAUGGACAAAAGUCUGACGGAGCAACGCCGCGUGUACGAUGAAAGUCUUCGGAUCGUAAAGUUCUGUUGUUAGGGAAAAACAAUUUCUGUGCGAAUAGAGCGGUGCCUUGUCUGUACCUAACGAGGAAGCCCCGGCUAACUACGUGCCAGCUUCCGCGGUAAUACGUAUGGGGCAAGCGUUGUCCGGAAUUAUUGGGCGUAAAGCGCGCGCAGGCGGUUCCUUAAGUCUGAUGUGAAACCCCACGGCUCAACCGUGGAGGGUCAUUGUAAACUGGGGAACUUGAGGACACAAGAGGAGAGUGCAAUUCCCCCGUGUAGCGCGUGAAAUGCGUAGGAUAUGUGGAGGAA
This 660-nucleotide ribosomal RNA is filed under the name Halobacillus sp. MAHB 84. RNAcentral's name for it is "bacterial SSU rRNA". It matches the Rfam family "Bacterial small subunit ribosomal RNA", at positions 70 to 706 of the family's 1533-position model. The record is from RNAcentral. Lineage: Bacteria; Bacillati; Bacillota; Bacilli; Caryophanales; Bacillaceae.